UUGGUGAGAUAAAAGCCCACCAAGGCGACGAUGGGUAGCCGGCCUGAGAGGGUGACCGGCCACACUGGAACUGAGACACGGUCCAGACUCCUACGGGAGGCAGCAGUGGGGAAUAUUGCACAAUGGAGGGAACUCUGAUGCAGCGACGCCGCGUGAGCGAAGAAGGCUUUCGAGUCGUAAAGCUCUGUCCUAGGGGACGAUAAUGACGGUACCCAAGGAGGAAGCCCCGGCUAACUACGUGCCAGCAGCCGCGGUAAUACGUAGGGGGCGAGCGUUGUCCGGAAUUAUUGGGCGUAAAGGGUUCGCAGGCGGCCUAUUAAGUCAGAUGUGAAAUCCCAUGGCUUAACCAUGGUAAGCAUUUGAAACUGGAAGGCUUGAGUUAAGGAGAGGAAAGUGGAAUUCCUAGUGUAGCGGUGAAAUGCGUAGAUAUUAGGAGGAAUACCAGUGGCGAAGGCGACUUUCUGGACUUUAACUGACGCUGAGGAACGAAAGCGUGGGUAGCAAACAGGAUUAGAUACCCUGGUAGUCCACGCCGUAAACGAUGAGUGCUAGGUGUUGGGGGUCAAACCUCGGU
Molecule: ribosomal RNA, 574 nt
Filed under: uncultured bacterium
Lineage: Bacteria
Description: bacterial SSU rRNA
Rfam family: Bacterial small subunit ribosomal RNA
Source: RNAcentral